AUUGAACGCUGGCGGCAGGCCUAACACAUGCAAGUCGAGCGGAUGCAGGGAGCUUGCUCCUGGAUUCAGCGGCGGACGGGUGAGUAAUGCCUAGGAAUCUGCCUGGUAGUGGGGGAUAACGUCCGGAAACGGGCGCUAAUACCGCAUACGUCCUGAGGGAGAAAGUGGGGGAUCUUCGGACCUCACGCUAUCAGGUGAUCCUAGGUCGGAUUAGCUAGUUGGUGGGGUAAAGGCCUACCAAGGCGACGAUCCGUAACUGGUCUGAGAGGAUGAUCAGUCACACUGGAACUGAGACACGGUCCAGACUCCUACGGGAGGCAGCAGUGGGGAAUAUUGGACAAUGGGCGAAAGCCUGAUCCAGCCAUGCCGCGUGUGUGAAGAAGGUCUUCGGAUUGUAAAGCACUUUAAGUUGGGAGGAAGGGCAGUAAGUUAAUACCUUGCUGUUUUGACGUUACCAACAGAAUAAGCACCGGCUAACUUCGUG
This 484-nucleotide ribosomal RNA is filed under the name uncultured bacterium. RNAcentral's name for it is "partial 16S ribosomal RNA". It matches the Rfam family "Bacterial small subunit ribosomal RNA", at positions 30 to 507 of the family's 1533-position model. The record is from RNAcentral.